This 384-nucleotide unclassified non-coding RNA is filed under the name Hevea brasiliensis (rubber tree). The record is from RNAcentral. Lineage: Eukaryota; Viridiplantae; Streptophyta; Magnoliopsida; Malpighiales; Euphorbiaceae.
GGAACUCCAACAUGAAGCUGUUUGAGCUCACCCAACCUUGCUUAGAAUUUAGGUUGGUUGAUCACUUGGUUGGCAGAGUGGUUAAGUAAUUUUCUGAGAUUAGGAAAAAAAAGGCUUCAUUUAUUCUUGAAAUUCAAAAAAUUGUGCAUAUAAAAAUUUUCGGUGGAGUGUGGACUAAGGUAAUAAACAACAGCCUAUGCAUCAAGUGUCAGAAAAAUGCAAUCUGACAAACUGGGUUGGUGAUCUUAGAUCCACGCUUAUAUCUGCUGAGAGAGGGUGAUGCAGUCAAUCUUAGACAGACCAAAUAAAAGUAUAUCAGUGAUCAAUCUUUAUGGAUUACGCAAGGUAAAGGCAGAAGAAGAUAAAGCUAGGAGUAGAUUUUGG